AUGGCCGACCAUGCCGCAGACGAGGAGGAGCCGCCCGUCCUGCUCGACCGCGCGGCGCGUGCCACCCGAGGAAAGAGGNNNNNNNNNNNNNNNNNNNNNNNNNNNNNNNNNNNNNNNNNNNNNNGGGGCCAAGAAGCCCUCAAGGAGGACGAGGAGGAUGAUAACUAUCAGGAAGAGCAGGAUGCUGGUGAUGUAUUCGACAGUGAUUUCGAUGAAGAUGAACCUCAACCUGAUGAUGACCCAGAGAAGGAAGUAAGUGAGAGGUUACCUAUUAAGAAGAGGCUAUUUUUUCCUGGGAAGACCAUGAAAAAAAUGAAAGCCAAGAAGAAGAAGAAGAAGAAUAAGGUCAUCAAACUAGAGGAUGAUGAAGGUAUAGAUGACAAGAAUCCUGAUAAGACUACUUCAUCCAAACAAUCAGAUGUUCCUGAUGAAUGGGAGUCUGAGAAAACGAUCAGGAAAUCAACCAGAACAUCUGUCAUUGUGAGACAAGCUGAACGAGAAGCAAUACGUGCUGAAAAGCAAGCAACUGCUAAGCCAAUUAAGAAGAGAAAAGAGGGAGAAGAAAAACGUAUGACACAAGAAGAGAUGCUCUUGGAAGCAGCUGAAACUGAGAUCAUGAACAUGAGAAAUCUUGAACGUGUACUGGCAAGAGAGGAGGAGGUGAAGAAAAAAGCUGUUGUUCAGAAAGCUGUCUAUGAGGGUCCUACACUUCGAUUUCACUCGAGAGAUGGGGAAUCACGUCUGGAAUUCAUUAAUGGGGCAUCAUUUGGGUCUGAACUUUGUACGACUUCAACUCCUUAUCCGGAGAAAUCUGUUUGCGUUGUAACAGGACUUCCUGCCAAAUACCGUGAUCCAAAGACAGGAUUACCUUAUGCAACAAUGGCAGCGUUUAAGAUCAUCCGGGAGAGUUUCCUGAAAGAGGAGUCGGAUAAGAAGAGGCCCAACAUGUCAAAUAUGGGAGAACUCUUUGAAUCAGUAGCCGGCGAACAUUCUACGCCUAAGAAGAAAAGGAUCGAGUCAAGAUCGCCAAUAUCAGGAGACCUAAGGCACGGCGGACGCUUCAGACGAAUACCUGCUCUUGAUGUCAUGGACGAGGACUGA
Molecule: ribosomal RNA, 1101 nt
Filed under: Triticum aestivum (bread wheat)
Lineage: Eukaryota; Viridiplantae; Streptophyta; Magnoliopsida; Poales; Poaceae
Description: partial small subunit ribosomal RNA
Source: RNAcentral